GACGAACGCUGGCGGCGUGCUUAACACAUGCAAGUCGAACGGAAAGGCCCUGCUUUUGUGGGGUGCUCGAGUGGCGAACGGGUGAGUAACACGUGAGUAACCUGCUCUUGACUUUGGGAUAACUUCAGGAAACUGGGGCUAAUACCGGAUAGGAGCUCCUGCUGCAUGGUGGGGGUUGGAAAGUUUCGGCGGUUGGGGAUGGACUCGCCGCUUAUCAGCUUGUUGGUGGGGUAGUGGCUUACCAAGGCUUUGACGGGUAGCCGGCCUGAGAGGGUGACCGGCCACACUGGGACUGAGACACGGCCCAGACUCCUACCGGAGGCAGCAGUGGGGAAGAUUGCACAAUGGGCGCAAGCCUUAGGCAGCGACGCCGCGUGAGGGAUGACGGCCUUCGGGUUGGAAACCUCUUUCAGUAGGGAAGAAGCGAAAGUGACGGUACCUGCAGAAGAAGCACCGGCUAACUACGUG
RNAcentral lists this ribosomal RNA (468 nucleotides) under uncultured bacterium. Its description in RNAcentral is "partial 16S ribosomal RNA". It matches the Rfam family "Bacterial small subunit ribosomal RNA", at positions 28 to 507 of the family's 1533-position model. The record is from RNAcentral.